This is an RNA transcript of Zea mays, 1048 nucleotides long. It is a transcript of the gene named cinnamoyl-CoA reductase pseudogene, with no coding region annotated. Lineage: Eukaryota; Viridiplantae; Streptophyta; Magnoliopsida; Poales; Poaceae. The transcript has 3 exons. The record is from RefSeq and is marked validated.
CCGAUAGAUCGUGAGCGAACCCAACCAUUGGCUCCUAGAUGAACCCACGGGGCCCAACUUUUCCUGCUGCAUGAACGUGAGAUCGUCUGGCCCUGCGGUCCUGCCGUCCUGGUGGACUCCUACCAGCCAUGCCGUCUUCCUUGGCCGGCGCGGCGGCGCCUAUCGGCGGCCGCGUUGCGGGGCUGUCCUGAUGGAGACGUCAAUCCCCACCCGAGAGUUCAUGGAUCGCCGAUAAUGAAUGCCUCAUGGCUGCAGAGGCUGGUGACGUCGACUCUGCGAGGUGCUCCUCUGCCGAGUUAUCCAAACAAUGCCCAUUUGAAGGAGCUGGAGAAGGCCCCAGAGAAUCUGUAUCUGUUCAAGGCUGACGAGCCAGACCACGACACGCUAACAGCUGCAGUUGAGGGAUGCGAGGGGAUCUUCCAUCUCGCCACUCCGGCGGUGCCUGAAGAUAAGAUUGUUGAUCCUGAGUCAGAAGUACUAGAAACUGCCGUGAAAGGUACCUUAAUGUGCUAAAGAUCUGCUCCGAUGCGAAGGUUCAAAAACUUGUUGGGAUAUCCUCCAACGCUCCUGUGGGUUUUAAACCGAAUUGGCCUCAGGAUAACUCAAAGAUCAGAGUUGCUGGUCAGACAAGGAAUUAUGCAAGGAAAUUGGGGUUAUUCCAGUCAUAUGUCCCUUGAAAGGACUCUUGUGAUUUUUUUCCCUUAACAUAAGCUAGUUUUUCCUAGGGGUGACUUACCCACAGAGCACUAAGGUGUUGUUUGGUUCACAAAUAGUAACAUAAAUGAUAAUGAUUUAUACUCGAGUACCGGCGGUAACAAAUUUGAAUAGGCCGGUAUCAACUUUUAGUGUGGUAUCUGAUUAUGAUUGCACUAAAACAAAUAUGAUUUAACGUUAUCAGUUACCUAUUACGUUACAAAUAUGUGAACCAAACGACACCUAAAUCAUAACCUUCUCUGCUGGCUACAGUGCCGCUAUAUGGGUGGGGCAAGGGUUUUCUCGACUCGUGUGGGAAGGUCUUCUUUUUAAUACAAUAUCUGGGACUGUCUUA